This 484-nucleotide ribosomal RNA is filed under the name uncultured bacterium. RNAcentral describes it as "partial 16S ribosomal RNA". It matches the Rfam family "Bacterial small subunit ribosomal RNA", at positions 30 to 507 of the family's 1533-position model. The record is from RNAcentral.
AUUGAACGCUGGCGGCAGGCCUAACACAUGCAAGUCGAGCGGAUGAAGGGAGCUUGCUCCUGGAUUCAGCGGCGGACGGGUGAGUAAUGCCUAGGAAUCUGCCUGGUAGUGGGGGAUAACGUCCGUAAACGGGCGCUAAUUCCGCAUACGUCCUGAGGGAGAAAGUGGGGGAUCUUCGGACCUCACGCUAUCAGAUGAGCCUAGGUCGGAUUAGCUAGUUGGUUGGGUAAAGGCCUACCAAGGCGACGAUCCGUAACUGGUCUGAGAGGAUGAUCAGUCGCACUGGAACUGAGACACGGUCCAGACUCCUACGGGAGGCAGCAGUGGGGAAUAUUGGGCAAUGGGCGAAAGCCUGACCCAGCCAUGCCGCGUGAGUGAAGAAGGUCUUCGGAUUGUAAAGCACUUUAAGUUGGGAGGAAGAGAAGUAAAAGAAUACAUGGCUGUUUUGACGUUACCAACAGAAUAAGCAACGGCUAACUUCGUG